Molecule: transfer RNA, 77 nt
Filed under: Acidobacteriota bacterium
Lineage: Bacteria; Pseudomonadati; Acidobacteriota
Also listed under: 2 other names
Description: Acidobacteria bacterium (activated sludge metagenome) tRNA-Lys
Rfam family: tRNA
About the family: Transfer RNA (tRNA) molecules are approximately 80 nucleotides in length. Their secondary structure includes four short double-helical elements and three loops (D, anti-codon, and T loops).
Source: RNAcentral
GGUUCCUUAGCUCAGUUGGUUAGAGCAGCUGACUCUUAAUCAGCGGGUCCUCGGUUCGAGUCCGAGAGGAACCACCA